RNAcentral lists this ribosomal RNA (595 nucleotides) under uncultured bacterium. RNAcentral describes it as "bacterial SSU rRNA". It matches the Rfam family "Bacterial small subunit ribosomal RNA", at positions 31 to 636 of the family's 1533-position model. The record is from RNAcentral.
GAACGCUGGCGGCGUGCCUAACACAUGCAAGUCGAGCGGACUACAUGAAGGGGUAACUCUUCAUGUAGUUAGCGGCGAACGGGUGAGUAACACGUGGGUAACCUACCCUCAGGUGGGGGAUAACUCGGGGAAACCUGAGCUAAUACCCCAUAAGACUACGGGCUGAAAGGCUUGUAGUAAAAGAAGCAAUUCGCCUGAGGAUGGGCCCGCGGCCUAUCAGGUAGUUGGUAGGGUAAUGGCCUACCAAGCCUAUGACGGGUAGCCGAGCUGAGAGGCUGGCCGGCCACACUGGGACUGAGACACGGCCCAGACUCCUACGGGAGGCAGCAGUGGGGAAUCUUGGGCAAUGGGCGAAAGCCUGACCCAGCGACGCCGCGUGGGGGAAGAAGGCCUUCGGGUUGUAAACCCCUUUUGCAGGGGACGACACAGGACGGUACCCUGCGAAUAAGCCACGGCUAACUCUGUGCCAGCAGCCGCGGUAAGACAGAGGUGGCGAGCGUUGCUCGGAUUUACUGGGCUUAAAGGGCGCGUAGGUGGCCUUGUAAGUCAAAGGUGGAAUUCCACAGCUCAACUGUGGAACUGCCUUUGAUACUGC